RNA transcript from Panicum virgatum (switchgrass), 1939 nucleotides. RefSeq lists it as uncharacterized. The record is from RefSeq and is a predicted model, not a curated record. The transcript has 5 exons. NCBI's taxonomy places the organism in Eukaryota, Viridiplantae, Streptophyta, Magnoliopsida, Poales, Poaceae.
UCAUCCUUCAAAGAAUGAGAUUGGUCACUUUGGCUGCGCCCGACUAGAACUCCGUCCAGAUAUGGCAUCAAAAUACAUCCAAUGGCCUAGGAUUCGUGUUGAUCCUGAGUGGAGUGCCCAGUGGUUCUACCAUCGGAUCCAUACUCCCGAUCUAGUCAAGUUCGAUGCUAAGCCCCCUGUUUAUGUUUGGGAAUGGUUCAUGACCUGCCCUAUCGAAGGCGGGUUCCAAACAAGUGAGUUGUUAGAAAGAAUUGGAAUUUUGCGGGGAAAACGAGUGACAGCAGCUUCAGUCAUGAAAAACUGGAAACAGCGUGGAAUCCAGGCUCUGCAGAAGAGGAAAUCUUUUGGUUUUCAGUAUGAGGGUGCUCAAGAUGACUCUCGUAUAUCCACAGAGACGAUUGAUGCUGCAACCACUUUGAAGAUCGUGCAGAAAAUUUUCCCUGAUCAAUCAUCGGUCCCUUAUGUGCCGAGUGUGUAUCGGGCAAGUAAUCCUCCUCCCCAGACUAAUGUAAGGAUUUUCAAGAGUGAUCCUCCUGCUCCUGGUUCUGGCAACAUCAAGGGACAAGGACAUUUCCACCGGCCUGUGCAUAUGGUAUUCCAAGAACCUAUUGUUGAAGAGGCGUCGAACAACUCAUCUUCCUCGAAUGCUAAUGAGUCUUCGGAUAACAUCUGGAUGCCCUCGCCAAACAGGUGGUAUAGUACUCUUGCUCUCACCAUGAUUUGAUGAGUAGAUUUGCAUAGUACUCUGAUUAACAGGAAUUUGGAUGAGGCUGAGGAAGUCGGGGCUGCCGAAGGACAACAUGAUCCUGCUCCUCCCCUUCCGACAGAGUCUACGCCUAGCUCCGGCCUUGGGCGCUGGAUACUCCGAGUUGCUCGGCAAUGGAGUAGUCCUGCCCCUGGCUCUGGAGCUUCUUCUACUGGUGCUAUUCUAGUGGUUGGAUUGGUGCGAGCGUCUUAGUGACUAGUCGUGAAGCGCUCGACCAUGUCUGCUGCUGGAGUGAAACGUCCUAUAGCUGCAUCGGCGGCUACUCGGGAGGAAACAGGAGCCCCCAAGUCCUCCAUAAGGAGAGAAGAAACCCCCUCUGCCGCUGCAAAUAUGGAGAUUCCCAAGGAGGACCGCUCUGCUAGGACGGAGGGUACUUCUAUCCCAGCUGCAGCUGCCUCAUCUGGUCCAAGUCCCAGAGGUCUGGCUCAACCGGAUUUGCCUACUGGAUUGGAUCCUAAUGAGGUUCCCGUUGGGUUGAUAGAAGACAACCUCUUGUCGGCUGAGUUGUGCAAUGAGUCACUUAGCUCCAUUCAUCGCGUAUACAAGCACUUUAAGAUUGGUACCUUAUGCAGAGGGUAGUCGAGCGUUCUCGAUUGAAGUCCUCCAUCCUUGUCGUGAAGGCAGAAAGGCUCAAUGAUGCAUGCGCUCUUAGGGAAGAGCUAUUAGAGAAAGAUGCUACAAUUACAGAAUUGAUGCAGCAGAUCUCCAACUUACAAGCCGGAGGCUCCGCGAUUGCGCCAGAUGAAACACUUCUAAAGUGUCAACAAGAAAGAGAUCAGGCUCGUCGGGACUGUGAAGGGUUGCGCCAAGCCAAUGCUGAUCUUGAAUAUUACAAGGAAAGCAUGGAGGCGGACCUGAGGAGUGCCGACAAGAAGCUUGCGGAAAAUCUGAAGACGAUUCAGAAGUUGAACCGGGACGUGGAGAGGAGGGAUAAAGAAAUUGAAGACCUGGAGAGUGCCGAUCGAGAGGUCGUCGAUACUGUGCAGCCUCCUCGCCCCUGUGUUGCCGGCUGCCGUUCCGUCUUGGAAAGACUUAGGCAGGUGCUUGAUUUGCUAAGGAACUCGUCGCAAAGGCAGAGUUCCCAGAAAUAGAUGUAUGUACUUGAAGUACUUUUUGCAAAGAUGAACAUUUUCUUAUGUUGAUGGAAUAUCAACAAGUGCUUUGUUCAUUAUU